UACGGGGGGGAGCAAGCGUUGUUCGGAUUUACUGGGCGUAAAGGGCGCGUAGGCGGUCGUGACAAGUCACUUGUGAAAUCUCCGGGCUUAACUCGGAACGGUCAAGUGAUACUGUCGGACUAGAGUACAGAAGGGGCAACCGGAAUUCCCAGUGUAGCGGUGAAAUGCGCAGAUAUCAGGAGGAACACCGAUGGCGAAGGCAGGUCUCUGGGCAUUAACUGACGCUGAGGAGCGAAAGUAUGGGGAGCGAACAGG
RNAcentral lists this ribosomal RNA (255 nucleotides) under uncultured bacterium. Its description in RNAcentral is "partial 16S ribosomal RNA". It matches the Rfam family "Bacterial small subunit ribosomal RNA", at positions 524 to 776 of the family's 1533-position model. The record is from RNAcentral.